This 253-nucleotide ribosomal RNA is filed under the name uncultured bacterium. Its description in RNAcentral is "partial 16S ribosomal RNA". It matches the Rfam family "Bacterial small subunit ribosomal RNA", at positions 524 to 776 of the family's 1533-position model. The record is from RNAcentral.
UACGGAGGGGACUAGCGUUGUUCGGAAUUACUGGGCGUAAAGGGCUCGUAGGCGGCCAACUAAGUCGGACGUGAAAUCCCCAGGCUCAACCUGGGAACUGCGUCCGAUACUGGAUGGCUUGGAUUUGGGAGAGGGAUGCGGAAUUCCAGGUGUAGCGGUGAAAUGCGUAGAUAUCUGGAGGAACACCGGUGGCGAAGGCGGCAUCCUGGACCAAUAUUGACGCUGAGGAGCGAAAGCCAGGGGAGCAAACGGG